Long non-coding RNA from Ictidomys tridecemlineatus (thirteen-lined ground squirrel), 1305 nucleotides. RefSeq lists it as uncharacterized. The record is from RefSeq and is a predicted model, not a curated record. NCBI's taxonomy places the organism in Eukaryota, Metazoa, Chordata, Mammalia, Rodentia, Sciuridae.
CCAUGGCAACUGCCACAUUACACGGUGCCGUGCUGACGAUGCCUCUGAGAUACAGAGCAGCUUCUCAAAGAGAUACACUUUUCAACAUGUCAUGUAGGGCUCUGUACUUGUUAGGGAAAAUCGCAUUUCCAGCAAAAUGACAUGCCAGCGCGCGGCUCACGCCUUUCUUAAACAAAGAAUUUCAUUCACUGCCUCUCUCAUGCCUGUCUGGCCUGCCACUGGCUACCCACCUGCCGGAGCCCCGAUUCCCUUUACGUAACACGCAGAGCUGGGGACAGGAGGUGGGCUGGGUGCGGGGCAAGGCUCCAGAAGCAGGGGAGAGGUGCUCAGGGCUGGCGUCCCCUCCAGCAGAGGGGCUCCGGGGACAGGUCUGGGAUGGGCACUGUGGCCCUGACUCUGGGCUCAGCCUGCCGGAGACGAGAUGUGCCUCUGAGGCCCCUCGUGUGUUUGCCAGUCCCUGACCUGAUCUUCAGGGUGGUGUCUGGAAGACGGGCCAAGGACACUCCAGCCUCACCCUUGAGUGAGAUGCAAAGGCCACAGUGAGGGGCUGGUACGGCUGUGCCUGCACCGAAGUGCUCUGCAUGACUACGCCGCUGUCCUCACCCAGGAAGGUACCAGUAACUGGACAUCUGAAAGCAAGGAAGACAUCUAGGUUCUCCUCUUUAACCAGGCAUCUGGAGGAGGAGGCUGAUCUAGGUUUGGUUCCACAAUCCCAUCUGUGUCUGUGACAUUCUCAACCUUCUUCUCAUGGUCCCAAGAUGGCUACAGCAGCUCCAGACAUCACAUCUUCACAGCCUUCUCAGGUAGAGGCUGAGGAUGAGCUACAAAAGGAAAACCCACCACAACACAGAAAUCAAGCCCUGGUUGUCGCCUCUGUCCAUUUCCACCAUGACGUCACCAGACACAGAUCCUGGAAGAGACACUCAGGGGGGCCACCAUUGUGUAGUGUUUCCACCAGGCAGACGAGGUUGACGCUGACGGCCUCAGGACCCGGGGAACAAUAGCAGGCGGUGAGAUCAUUGGGAAGCGAUGAACUCUUGAGAAUUUAUUACUUUUGUUUUUUUACAAUGAUUUAUUUAAUUGUGACUUUAUGUAAUUUAAUUUUUUUAAAAUAAUAGCUGUAUUUAACACCCUGCUUGUAAAAUUCCUGAAAAUUUAACAACUGGCUCUCGUGAGCAGCUAGGAGCCGGCCCCAGCAUGCCACCCAGGGUUACUGUGGUAAGUAAAUAAUUCAAUGCUUUCACAAUGCUCAGGAAACCCUGGCAUAUUGAGUAAGCCCUCAAUAAACGUUAGCUAAUCUUCUUA